AUAUUUUAUACCUUUUUUUUUUUCUUUUUUUUCAUUUAGAUCCGCUUUUUUAUCUAUUUAUAUCGCUUAUGCAAAGUAUCCUGCUUUAAUAAAUUUUCUAGAUACAUUUUUAGAUAACAAAUCAAACAAACAAAAGAAACCAAAAGAAAGAAAAAAAAGAAAAAAAAAACGCAAUAACAAAGAAACGAAAAAAACAAAGAAAAUUAUUCCUCGGCAAGGAGCAACAAGUCCUGUGUCUCUGUCUCUGUGUGUGUUUCCGUCUGAUCUGCAUCCCCCAAAUUAAAUCUUAAGGAAAGCCCCGUACGAUUCUGAGAACUGAUUCCGAUGAAACGGAUAUGCGUAAAACGAUUCGAAGCCAAGCAGCAA
Molecule: long non-coding RNA, 366 nt
Filed under: Polistes fuscatus (common paper wasp)
Lineage: Eukaryota; Metazoa; Arthropoda; Insecta; Hymenoptera; Vespidae
Description: uncharacterized LOC122514589
Source: RNAcentral